UCCGGUUUAUCACCGGCAGUCUCCAUAGAGUUCUCGCCAUUACGCGUUAGUAACUAUGAACAAGGGUUGCGCUCGUUGCGGGACUUAACCCAACAUCUCACGACACGAGCUGACGACAGCCAUGCAGCACCUGUGUCCAGGUUCCCUUUCGGGCACACCUCCAUCUCUGGAGGCUUCCUGGCAUGUCAAGGGUAGGUAAGGUUUUUCGCGUUGCAUCGAAUUAAUCCACAUAAUCCACCGCUUGUGCGGGUCCCCGUCAAUUCCUUUGAGUUUUAAUCUUGCGACCGUACUCCCCAGGCGGUCGACUUCACGCGUUAGCUGCGUUACCGAAGGAGUUACCCUCCGACAACUAGUCGACAUCGUUUAGGGCGUGGACUAC
This 379-nucleotide unclassified non-coding RNA is filed under the name uncultured Gammaproteobacteria bacterium. Its description in RNAcentral is "contains 16S-23S intergenic spacer region". Lineage: Bacteria; Pseudomonadati; Pseudomonadota; Gammaproteobacteria. The record is from RNAcentral.